This 403-nucleotide ribosomal RNA is filed under the name uncultured bacterium. Its description in RNAcentral is "partial 16S ribosomal RNA". It matches the Rfam family "Bacterial small subunit ribosomal RNA", at positions 28 to 526 of the family's 1533-position model. The record is from RNAcentral.
GACGAACGCUGGCGGCGUGCCUAAUACAUGCAAGUCGAACGCAGUGGGGACGGGUGAGUAACACGUGGGUAACCUCCCAUCAGAGGGGAUAACACUUGGAAACAGGUGCUAAACCGAUACUGAUGGAUGGACCCGCGGUGCAUUAGCUAGUUGGUGGGGUAACGGCUCACCAAGGCCACGAUGCAUAGCUGGCCUGAGAGGAUGAUCAGCCACACUGGAACUGAGACACGGCCCAGACUCCUACGGGAGGCAGCAGUGGGGAAUCUUCGGCAAUGGGCGCAAGUCUGACCGAGCCAUGCCGCGUGAGUGAAGAAGGUUUUCGGGUCGUAAAGCUCUUUUGUUAGGGAAGCGGUAUCUAACCAAAAAGCCACGGCUAACUACGUGCCAGCCGCCGCGGUAAUAC